RNAcentral lists this transfer RNA (80 nucleotides) under Diaphorina citri (Asian citrus psyllid). It matches the Rfam family "tRNA". Rfam says of the family: Transfer RNA (tRNA) molecules are approximately 80 nucleotides in length. Their secondary structure includes four short double-helical elements and three loops (D, anti-codon, and T loops). The record is from Rfam by way of RNAcentral. Lineage: Eukaryota; Metazoa; Arthropoda; Insecta; Hemiptera; Psyllidae.
GCCUAGUUAGCUUAGUUGGUAGUGCGUCUGCCUUGUAACCUGUAAGCGCUAGGCCGCGGGUUCGAUUCCCGCCCGGGGCG